AUAAACCGGAGGAAGGUGGGAUGACGUCAAGUCAGCAUGGCCUUUAUAUCCUGGGCUACACACACGCUACAAUGGGAAGGGACAAUAGGUGCGAAGCCGCGAGGCGGAGCCAAUCCAGCAAAACUUCCCUCAGUUCAGAUUGCAGGCUGCAACCCGCCUGCAUGAAGUUGGAGUUGCUAGUAAACGCAGGUCAGCCAUACUGCGUUGAAUACGUUCCCGGGCUU
Molecule: ribosomal RNA, 224 nt
Filed under: uncultured Anaerolineaceae bacterium
Lineage: Bacteria; Bacillati; Chloroflexota; Anaerolineae; Anaerolineales; Anaerolineaceae
Description: partial 16S ribosomal RNA
Rfam family: Bacterial small subunit ribosomal RNA
Source: RNAcentral